RNAcentral lists this ribosomal RNA (680 nucleotides) under uncultured Alphaproteobacteria bacterium. RNAcentral's name for it is "bacterial SSU rRNA". It matches the Rfam family "Bacterial small subunit ribosomal RNA", at positions 28 to 755 of the family's 1533-position model. The record is from RNAcentral. Lineage: Bacteria; Pseudomonadati; Pseudomonadota; Alphaproteobacteria.
AACGAACGCUGGCGGCAUGCUAACACAUGCAAGUCGAACGAGACCUUCGGGUCUAGUGGCGCACGGGUGCGUAACGCGUGGGAAUCUGCCCUUCGGUUGGGAAUAACACAGAGAAAUUUGUGCUAAUACCUUAUAAUGUCUUCGGACCAAAGAUUUAUCGCCGAGGGAUGAGCCCGCGUAGGAUUAGGUAGUUGGUGGGGUAAUGGCCUACCAAGCCGACGAUCCUUAGCUGGUCUGAGAGGAUGAUCAGCCACACUGGGACUGAGACACGGCCCAGACUCCUACGGGAGGCAGCAGUGGGGAAUAUUGGACAAUGGGCGAAAGCCUGAUCCAGCAAUGCCGCGUGAGUGAUGAAGGCCUUAGGGUUGUAAAGCUCUUUUACCAGGGAUGAUAAUGACAGUACCUGGAGAAUAAGCUCCGGCUAACUCCGUGCCAGCAGCCGCGGUAAUACGGAGGGAGCUAGCGUUGUUCGGAAUUACUGGGCGUAAAGCGCGCGUAGGCGGUUACUCAAGUCAGAGGUGAAAGCCCGGGGCUCAACCCCGGAACUGCCUUUGAAACUAGGUAACUAGAAUCUUGGAGAGGUCAGUGGAAUUCCGAGUGUAGAGGUGAAAUUCGUAGAUAUUCGGAAGAACACCAGUGGCGAAGGCGACUGACUGGACAAGUAUUGACGCUGAGGUGCG